GCCUUCGCGAUUUCGGUGGUGAUCUCGCGAUCAUGGUUGUAGACCCGUA
RNAcentral lists this small RNA (49 nucleotides) under Sinorhizobium meliloti 2011. Its description in RNAcentral is "putative ncRNA". The record is from RNAcentral. Lineage: Bacteria; Pseudomonadati; Pseudomonadota; Alphaproteobacteria; Hyphomicrobiales; Rhizobiaceae.